This 261-nucleotide long non-coding RNA is filed under the name Elaeis guineensis (African oil palm). RNAcentral's name for it is "long non-coding RNA (EGUI_LNC042347)". Lineage: Eukaryota; Viridiplantae; Streptophyta; Magnoliopsida; Arecales; Arecaceae. The record is from RNAcentral.
AGGAUAUUUUAUUCCUUUCAGAUUGGCAUCGGAGAAUGUAAUCUUGUCUUUGACCCUUCUCUUCUUCUGCUGCUCCUCUUCAGCUUAGCUUGGCUUAGAUGUAGGGUUGCCACCUGCCCCCCAAAGAAGGCGUGGAACACUCCCACCAUAGGCCCAUCUUCUAGAGGACCUCACAUCAAGGUGGUUCAGGCCUGGAUUCUUCUCUUUUCGACCUCAGUUGUCCUUUCCUGAUGAGUGCUUCAAUCUUAUCUUCGAGUUGUA